CGGGGCUGCCCGUGCCUUGGCCCCGGCCCAGCUGCGAGGGGGAGCAGGAGGAAGGGGAUCUGGGCCUGGAGAGAAGGCAGGAAAUAGAGUGUCCUGUCCCUGGUCCUGUCC
Calypte anna (Anna's hummingbird) is the source of this 111-nucleotide long non-coding RNA. RefSeq lists it as uncharacterized. Lineage: Eukaryota; Metazoa; Chordata; Aves; Apodiformes; Trochilidae. The transcript has 3 exons. The record is from RefSeq and is a predicted model, not a curated record.